RNAcentral lists this ribosomal RNA (495 nucleotides) under uncultured bacterium. RNAcentral describes it as "partial 16S ribosomal RNA". It matches the Rfam family "Bacterial small subunit ribosomal RNA", at positions 28 to 507 of the family's 1533-position model. The record is from RNAcentral.
GACGAACGCUGGCGGCGUGCCUAAUACAUGCAAGUAGAACGCUGAAGGAGGAGCUUGCUUCUCUGGAUGAGUUGCGAACGGGUGAGUAACGCGUAGGUAACCUGCCUGGUAGCGGGGGAUAACUAUUGGAAACGAUAGCUAAUACCGCAUAAGAGUAGAUGUCGCAUGACAUUUGCUUAAAAGGUGCAAUUGCAUCACUACCAGAUGGACCUGCGUUGUAUUAGCUAGUUGGUGAGGUAACGGCUCACCAAGGCAACGAUACAUAGCCGACCUGAGAGGGGGAUCGGCCACACUGGGACUGAGACACGGCCCAGACUGCUACGGGAGGCAGCAGUAGGGAAUCUUCGGCAAUGGACGGAAGUCUGACCGAGCAACGCCGCGUGAGUGAAGAAGGUUUUCGGAUCGUAAAGCUCUGUUGUAAGAGAAGAACGAGUGUGAGAGUGGAAAGUUCACACUGUGACGGUAUCUUACCAGAAAGGGACGGCUAACUACGUG